RNAcentral lists this transfer RNA (73 nucleotides) under Trichonephila inaurata madagascariensis. It matches the Rfam family "tRNA". From Rfam's summary of the family: Transfer RNA (tRNA) molecules are approximately 80 nucleotides in length. Their secondary structure includes four short double-helical elements and three loops (D, anti-codon, and T loops). Further hydrogen bonds mediate the characteristic L-shaped molecular structure. tRNAs have two regions of fundamental functional importance: the anti-codon, which is responsible for specific mRNA codon recognition, and the 3' end, to which the tRNAs corresponding amino acid is attached (by aminoacyl-tRNA synthetases). tRNAs cope with the degeneracy of the genetic code in two manners: having more than one tRNA (with a specific anti-codon) for a particular amino acid; and 'wobble' base-pairing, i.e. permitting non-standard base-pairing at the 3rd anti-codon position. Lineage: Eukaryota; Metazoa; Arthropoda; Arachnida; Araneae; Nephilidae. The record is from Rfam by way of RNAcentral.
GUCUCUGUAGCGCAAUGGAUAGCGCGUUGGACUUCUAAUCCAAAGGUGGUAGGUUCGAAACCCACUUGGGAUG